This 806-nucleotide long non-coding RNA is filed under the name Nicotiana benthamiana. Its description in RNAcentral is "long non-coding RNA (NBEN_LNC007296)". The record is from RNAcentral. Lineage: Eukaryota; Viridiplantae; Streptophyta; Magnoliopsida; Solanales; Solanaceae.
CCAAAGGAGUAAUAGCGCACAAUAAUGCAGUCUCGAAGGAGGGUGUUGGUCGAAUUGAUUCAGCUGCACAUCAUGCUUUGGUAAAAGAUGGUUGGAGACAGAAUGGGGACACUAAGGCCCCCCAAUUUCAUCAAUGGAAGGAGGUUCGUGACAAUAGGACUCUAAACAAAGGAAAACAAACCGAAGUCUCAGUUUCACAAAGCAAGGAAAUUCUUGGUAACAAUCUCAAGUUCAAUAAUCAAAUCCAUACUACCAACAAUUUGAAAUUGCUACAAAAGGAAAAUGAAGAGGAAAAUGUAAGAAAAAAACUGCAGUCAUAGAGGAAUACUCGGUUCAAACAUCCGACAGCAACAAGGAGAUUCAGCACACCGAUGUGGAAAAUGAGAUAAAGGAGCAGGAAGUAUCAACUUCCCAAGUAGCACAAAAGAAUACAUCUCCAAGUUCGUCCAAAAGACAGUCAGCCAACAAUAAACAAAAAAUCCAGUUGAUAUACAACAAGGGAUGGGGAAACAUCAGCAUAUCAACGAUCUUUCAACUAAACAAUGGGCUCAGGAAGUUUUUAAAAAUAAUGCAAUUCAGGUCAAUAUCCCCAAUAAUGAGCAACAACUAGCAAACAAAAAAGAAAAUGAAAUGGUAGAAGAUGAAGACUUUGACAAAUUCGGGGCCAUUGAAAAAGAAAAAAGGGAAACAAAACAGUUAUGGCUCAACCAAACCGAGGAAGUCUUACAAGAUGGUCAAAUUCCAGAUUUGAUGCAUAGUGAGGAUGAAAUAGCAGAAAAAAACUUGGAAAGAAGGAUGAAAGAGCU